Molecule: ribosomal RNA, 515 nt
Filed under: uncultured bacterium
Lineage: Bacteria
Description: partial 16S ribosomal RNA
Rfam family: Bacterial small subunit ribosomal RNA
Source: RNAcentral
GAUGAACGCUGGCGGCAUGCCUAAUACAUGCAAGUCGAGCGAAUGGAUUAAGAGCUUGCUCUUAUGAAGUUAGCGGCGGACGGGUGAGUAACACGUGGGUAACCUGCCCAUAAGACUGGGAUAACUCCGGGAAACCGGGGCUAAUACCGGAUAACAUUUUGAACCGCAUGGUUCGAAAUUGAAAGGCGGCUUCGGCUGUCACUUAUGGAUGGACCCGCGUCGCAUUAGCUAGUUGGUGAGGUAACGGCUCACCAAGGCAACGAUGCGUAGCCGACCUGAGAGGGGGAUCGGCCACACUGGGACUGAGACACGGCCCAGACUCCUACGGGAGGCAGCGGUAGGGAAUCUUCCGCAAUGGACGAGAGUCUGACGGAGCAACGCCGCGUGAGUGAUGAAGGCUUUCGGGUCGUAAAACUCUGUUGUUAGGGAAGAACAAGUGCUAGUUGAAUAAGCUGGCACCUUGACGGUACCUAACCAGAAAGCCACGGCUAACUACGUGCCAGCCGCCGCAGUAA